Long non-coding RNA from Pezoporus flaviventris, 464 nucleotides. RefSeq lists it as uncharacterized. The record is from RefSeq and is a predicted model, not a curated record. NCBI's taxonomy places the organism in Eukaryota, Metazoa, Chordata, Aves, Psittaciformes, Psittacidae. The transcript is spliced from 3 exons.
GAAGUGAUGAUGGAGUGAAUGGUUCUCAGAGUUCCUGGCUGCACAAACACAGCACUGUAUCCUGCUAAUGUUUUAUUUCUCUGAGGAGGCAUCAGAGAAAUAACCUCUGACUGCUUAUGAACACAACUGAUCUGCACACAUGGCAGGGCUUCCUUUGGUCAGCACAGCCAGGGCAGUGAGGGCCAGAGCAGCUCUGAGGCCAGGGACCAGCCAUUGGCAUGGAGGAGGGAGACCCCAUCUUUGUAAUUAACUUGGCAGCUGCAUUCCUAAAAAUAGUGUGCAACAAAUGGGAAGCAACAUUGCUGCCUUCAGGACAGAAGAAAGGAGGCUGAGCAGAAGCAUGUGUGGGCAGGAGGAGCCCUUGGCUUCAUGUACUUCAAUAGUCCUCAUCGAGCUGAUUUCUCACUUAACAGCCUGAGAAGCUAAGAUCAUUUCUAUCAUGUCUGUGAUGGCACUUUCAUUUA